AACGAGGCCGACCUGCGGCUGAGUUACCUGCGGAAGGAUCAUUACCGAGUGAGGGCCCUCCGGGUCCAACCUCCCACCCGUGUUUAACGAACCUUGUUGCUUCGGCGGGCCCGCCUCACGGCCGCCGGGGGGCACCCCGCCCCCGGGCCCGCGCCCGCCGAAGACACCUGUGAACGCUGUCUGAAGUUGCAGUCUGAGACACUAGCUCAAUCAGUUAAAACUUUCAGCAAUGGAUCUCAG
RNAcentral lists this unclassified non-coding RNA (240 nucleotides) under soil metagenome. RNAcentral's name for it is "partial contains 5.8S ribosomal RNA, internal transcribed spacer 2, and large subunit ribosomal RNA". The record is from RNAcentral.